RNAcentral lists this ribosomal RNA (944 nucleotides) under uncultured archaeon. Its description in RNAcentral is "bacterial SSU rRNA". It matches the Rfam family "Archaeal small subunit ribosomal RNA", at positions 1 to 922 of the family's 1478-position model. The record is from RNAcentral.
UCCGGUUGAUCCUGCCGGACCCCACUGCUAUCGGGGUGGGACUAAGACAUGCUAGUCGUGCGCCUCCAAGCCACGGUGGAGGCGCGGCGCACAGCUCAGUAACACGUGGCUAACCUACCCUUGGGACAGGGACAACCCCGGGAAACUGGGGCUAAUCCCCGAUAGGUGAGGACUCCUGGAAUGGGUCCUCGCUGAAAGGGCGUCUAGACCAUGCUUCUAGACGCUGCCCAAGGAUGGGGCCGCGGCCGAUCAGGUUGUUGGUGAGGUAACGGCUCACCAAGCCUAAGACCGGUACGGGCCGUGAGAGCGGGAGCCCGGAGAUGGACACUGAGACAAGGGUCCAGGCCCUACGGGGCGCAGCAGUCGCGAAACCUCCGCAAUACGCGAAAGCGUGACGGGGCCACCCCGAGUGCCGUCCGCUGAGGACGGCUUUUCCCCAGUGUAGACAGCUGGGGGAAUAAGGGGAGGGCAAGUCGGGUGUCAGCCGCCGCGGUAAUACCCGCUCCCCGAGUGGUGGGGACGCUUAUUGGGCCUAAAGCAUCCGUAGCCGGCUGGACAAGUCCCCUGUUAAAUCCAGCGAUUUAAUCGCUGGACUGCGGGGGAUACUGUCCAGCUAGGGGGCGGGAGAGGCCGGCGGUAUUCCCGGGGUAGGGGUGAAAUCUUAUAAUCCCGGGAGGACCACCAGUGGCGAAGGUUGCCGGCUGGAACGCGCCCGACGGUGAGGGAUGAAAGCUGGGGGAGCGAACCGGAUUAGAUACCCGGGUAGUCCCAGCUGUAAACGAUGCGGGCUAGGUGUUGGCACGGCUACAAGCCGUGUCAGUGCCGCAGGGAAGCCGUUAAGCCCGCCGCCUGGGGAGUACGGCCGCAAGGCUGAAACUUAAAGGAAUUGGCGGGGGAGCACCACAAGGGGUGAAGCUUGCGGUUUAAUUGGAGUCAACGCCGGG